UCCAGACUCCUACGGGAGGCAGCAGUGAGGAAUAUUGGUCAAUGGGCGGAAGCCUGAACCAGCCAAGUCGCGUGAGGGAAUAAGGCCCUACGGGUCGUAAACCUCUUUUGCCGGGGAGCAAGGGCGGGGACGUGUCCCGGCCCGGAGAGUGCCCGGAGAAAAAGCAUCGGCUAACUCCGUGCCAGCAGCCGCGGUAAUACGGAGGAUGCGAGCGCUAUCCGGAUUUAUUGGGUUUAAAGGGUGCGUAGGCGGGCUUUUAAGUCAGCGGUAAAAAUUCGGGGCUCAACCCCGUACUGCCGUUGAAACUGCAUCCCUUGAGUGCGCGAGAAGUAUGCGGAAUGCGUGGUGUAGCGGUGAAAUGCAUAGAUAUCGCGCAGAACUCCGAUUGCGAAGGCAGCAUGCCGGCUCCACACUGACGCUGAGGCACGAAAGCGUGGGUAUCGAACAGGAUUAGAUACCCUUGUACU
Molecule: ribosomal RNA, 467 nt
Filed under: uncultured bacterium
Lineage: Bacteria
Description: bacterial SSU rRNA
Rfam family: Bacterial small subunit ribosomal RNA
Source: RNAcentral